Molecule: non-coding RNA, 30 nt
Filed under: Rattus norvegicus (Norway rat)
Lineage: Eukaryota; Metazoa; Chordata; Mammalia; Rodentia; Muridae
Source: RNAcentral
UGGGAUAGAAGAGCCAUUGGGUGUUAAGAG